AAAGUCGUAACAAGGUAACCGUAGGUGAACCUGCGGUUGGAUCAUUAAUAAAUUCUAGAGCAAAGAGUUGACUGAGCAAUCAUGAUACCUUUGUUUCUUAACAUUUUGUGAAUCGUUUAUUGUCUCUUGCGGUUGAGGGUUGCUUACUCUCGCCGCAUGUGAAUUUAACAUUGUAAUAUAACCAUUUGUCUUGAAACUUUAAAUCUAUAUAAUUUAAAAACAACUUUUGACAACGGAUCUCUAGGCUCUC
This 250-nucleotide unclassified non-coding RNA is filed under the name Chytridiomycota sp. RNAcentral's name for it is "partial contains small subunit ribosomal RNA, internal transcribed spacer 1, and 5.8S ribosomal RNA". The stretch from base 1 to 47 matches the Rfam family "Eukaryotic small subunit ribosomal RNA", at positions 1785 to 1831 of the family's 1831-position model. Lineage: Eukaryota; Fungi; Chytridiomycota. The record is from RNAcentral.